RNAcentral lists this ribosomal RNA (497 nucleotides) under uncultured bacterium. RNAcentral's name for it is "partial 16S ribosomal RNA". It matches the Rfam family "Bacterial small subunit ribosomal RNA", at positions 28 to 507 of the family's 1533-position model. The record is from RNAcentral.
GAUGAACGCUGGCGGCGUGCCUAAUACAUGCAAGGCGAGCGAACAGACGAGGAGCUUGCUCCUCUGACGUUAGCGGCGGACGGGUGAGUAACACGUGGAUAACCUACCUAUAAGACUGGGAUCACUUCGGGAAACCGGAGCUAAUACCGGAUCAUAUAUUGAACCGCAUGGUUCAAUAGUGAAAGACGGUUUUGCUGUCACUUAUAGAUGGAUCCGCGCCGCAUUAGCUAGUUGGUAAGGUAACGGCUUAGCAAGGCAACGAUGCGUAGCCGACCUGAGAGAGUGAUCGGCCACACUGGAACUGAGACACGGUCCAGACUCCUGCGAGAGGCAUCAGUAUCGAAUCUUCCGCAAAGGUCGAAAACUUGACGGAGCAACGCGGAGUAAGUGAUGAAGGUCUUCGGAUCGUAAAACUCUGUUAUCAGGGAAGAACAACUGUGUAAGUAACUAUACACGUCUUGACGGUACCUAAUCAGAGAGCCACGGCUAACUACGUG